AGCAUUUUCCUAUAAAUAGGGUGCUUAGGUUAGAAUUAAAAAUCACACCAGAAACUAAAGUUUUUUCUCUCUAUAUUAUCGAGCGUAUUCUUGUGAGUAUUUUGAGUAUACUUUGAGUAUUGCUAUACGGUGCAAGUUCAAGUCAUAGCCUAUAUCCGGUGUUUCAACUAGAAGUACUGUCUUUCGAGGUAAGGGAUGUUAUUUUAUUCAAAAAUGAUAUUAUUUCUUCAAUAUCAUUAUGCCGAAAUAUUGGUUGGAAAUUUUUAUCAAAUUU
RNAcentral lists this long non-coding RNA (274 nucleotides) under Panax ginseng (ginseng). RNAcentral's name for it is "long non-coding RNA (PGIN_LNC010261)". The record is from RNAcentral. Lineage: Eukaryota; Viridiplantae; Streptophyta; Magnoliopsida; Apiales; Araliaceae.